GGCAGCGGCAAGCUUGGGUGUGAGCCCAGGGGCCGCUUUGCUUACCGUCCUGCCGGUCCCAGCCGUCGCUAGGAGGUCCGCGGGCCCUGCGGCAACCCUCGCUACAGACGCUGGGCGGGCGGCGACACCUGGCUCAUGGCCCCCGCGGCGGCUCCGUCCUCCUUGGCCGUCAGGGCCUCAAGCCCCGCCGCGACACCCACCUCGUACGGCGUCUUCUGCAAGGGGCUCUCCCGCACCCUGCUCGCCUUCUUCGAGCUGGCCUGGCAGCUGCGCAUGAACUUCCCGUACUUCUACGUCGCGGGCUCGGUGAUCCUCAACAUCCGAUUGCAGGUACAUAUUUAGAGCCAUGACUAAGCUAACGGCCUCCGGGGCCAGCAUGAUGGCCGACUCCCAGGGUCCGUUGCGGCGCGGCGGAGCAGCCAAUGGCGAGCCCCACAGUCUCGCGAGAGUGCUCAGGCGCUCUUCGUGGCUGCCCUCUUAGCUGCUAGCGGAGCUCCUCAGGGGGCGGCCGGGAGCCUACAAUCCCUAGAAAGAAAAUACGCCGUUCCGGAAACAGAACUGCAGUUAAGACCCUCGAAAAGAUCUAAGAAAGUGUGCAUCCUAAAACACCUGACGAAUUUCAGAAUGUGACAAAGCGCAGAGGAUGCAUUAUUUCAAAACAAAACAGAAGGCUAAAAUUUGCAGGAAAAAGAAAAUCAGUAAACCGGGAAUCCUCGGACUGGAUUGUAAGCAAGAUUUGAAUGAAUAAGAAGCUGAAGGUAUUAAGGCUGUGAUAUAGAAGGUACAUAUUUCAUCCCACAAGAGAAAACAAUAAUAAUCAGAAAUUUUCGGUGAAAAAAACGCAAAACUGUACAGGAAAAUCAUCCUCCAAGUACCAGACAUAAAAUGCUGCAAGCUUUUGAACUAAUGGCGAGAGUGUAAGAAAAUGGACUCUACUUCAGUGAUCCUGUGGCAGGACGUGGAUCAAGACUUGGAACCGCAGAAAACGAAAUCCCAUAGUAGCACAAAGCUUGGCUGUUCAGUGAAUAACAUUUAAAUAAUCGUAAAAUACAAAUGUUGUUUAUGGUUUUUAUUGUUUAAGGGCAUACUUAAUUAUGGUUACAAAGUGGAGUGCAAAUGUUAUUUACCAUGUUUUAAAAAUACAGCCGGAAAAUACAAGUGGGAAUGUUGAAGGAGGGCAGGGGAAGUAAAUGGAAUGGGGGUUAUGUCCUUAUAAAGUGGAAACUUGAAAGGUACUGUCUGUUGUUGAGUGGGGAAAGACAUUUUUAUUACUUACAGGGUAGCCAUAAAGUUUCUAAAACGGUAAUAUAUUAAAGAGGGAGAGUGGUAGGGGAGAACAGUAUGAAGUCAACAGGAAAUGGCUAAAGAUGGAGAGCUCAGGUAGAAUAGUUUAAAAAAUGAAAAUUGAUAGAGUACCUGGUGUAUUUGAAUACAGCCUAGAGAGCUUUCAUUUUCCAAAGAGUGUGGGGAUAAAUUAGUGAAUGCAUAUUUUUCAAAAUUAAGAAAACAGAACAUAUAAUUUUGAACGCUGAGAAAAAUAAAAAUUUAAAAACUACACUGUAUACACGGUAUACCUCAACUGUGAAUAAUAGUAGUCAUGUAAAGUCAGUCAUAAUUAUGUAAAUACUGAAUACUGAUUUUACAACAAAUGAUUCUAUAACGCUGGGAGGAUGGGAGAAAAGAGAUGUGUGUGUGUGUAAUGGUGGUGAGCCAAUCAAGAUCUGAUAUAGAAAAAUGCAGAAAAAGGAGUAUACACAUGUUUUCUUCGGAUUAAAAAAACUAAUAAUAAAUCACCAAGAGUGGUAAAGUUUUAAAUCAAGAUCUGAUAUAGAAAAGUGCAGAAAAAGUAGUAUACGCAUUUUUUUUUUCAGGAAAAAAUUAACUAAUAAACCACUAAGAGGGGUAAAGUGUUAAAAUAGUUGCAUUGUUCUAUAUUCCACUCAUUGUGUCCAGCAAACAGUGUUCUAUGGCUUUAAAUAGUAAGCAUCUUGCCCCGUCCAACACCAUGUCUGGCCUAGGGUAAUUGUUCUUUCUAGUCUUUAUUCUUUGUCUCCAGCCAAACUCCAUUUGGGCACAUUCUCCUAUAGCCUUUUCUACCUGAAGAUACUCUGUGUUUUAAAGCUAAGCUUAGGUGGCGCUUUUUCCAUUAAAUUUUUCCUGGAUUCCACUGACCAUAUAGGAGCUCACUUCUUUUAAUCCAUAAGGCCAUUUUCAUAGGUUGCCUUAUUUUUCCCUAAUCGUGCAUCAACUAUCUGUUUUAUAUACCCAAGACAGGUUUCCUAGACUGCGAUAAGCCAAAACAUUUUAGUCUAAAAUAUCAGAAGUGUAGUUUAAUCAAUGAAAUAGUAAUACCAAGGGAUUUAGAAUCGUGGACAUCACUGUUUCCCAGAGCACUGAUGUCCCAAUUUGUAACACAAAAGACUGUCUAGUCUUAAUCCUGAAAUGGUGACAGAGUAGGAUGCUCCAUUUGGGUGACUAUGUGAACAUAUUCCUACAACUUUUUUCCUCACAUCAGUCAUUUGUUAAAUCGAAGAUGAAGAAACAGACUUUGUAUUUAUUACAUCCUCCAACAUAAUUGGCAGCUCUGUGAGGGAAGACACUAUAUCCUAUUCAAUUUUACACCCGGUAGUAACAGUAUGUGUGUGUACUGUAUAUAUACAUAUAUAUAUACAUACACAUAUAUAAAUUUAAGUAGUAACUAUAUAUGUAUAUAUGUAUAGUUACUACUUACUAUAUAUGUAUACAGUAUAUAAGUAUAUAUGUAUAGUUACUACUUACAAUAUAUGCAUAAAGUUACAGCUUACAUUUACCUCGUAAUAUAUGUAUAUAUAUAUAUAUUAGGAGUUAAAUGUAUUAGGAGGUAAAUGUAAACUCUGUGGUUUAUCAUUUAUUCACAAUUGCUCUUAAUUCUUGGGGUAUAGUUUGCCUCCUACAUGAUGCAAUUCAGUGAAAUUCCCAGGAGACAAAACAAGAUUUUGACCUGAAUAAACCACUUAUUGUUGUAAUUCACAAGUGAGUUUAUUUUUCCUGGCACACUUCCAGGUAAUAUCCAUUAGGCUAAGGAUUUUGUUUGUUCACUGUUCUAUCCCCAAGCCUAGAGCAUUGCCCAGUGCGGAAUAGCUAAUAAAUAUUGUUGAAUGGAUAGAUGAAUGGCAAUUUUGUUGGUAUGCUCUACAUAGUCAGCAGUCAAUAAAGGAAACAUAUAUUCGUUCCUGAUAAUAAGAUGAUUCACUUUAUUGCCCAUAAAUUGGGCUUUUUCAGGCCAUCAUGCACGUUGAUUGAUCCAGAGAUCCCUCAAGCAUGAAAAAGCAGAGACAUAGGUGGUAUAGUUAUUAUCAAUAGAGAUAAGAAAUGUAGCUGGCAAAAAAAAAAAUGGGAAACGAUGCGUUACAGCUUAUUUUAACUAUAAAAGGAAAACAGUGAACAUAGCAACAUAUGUAACCUAAGGGAUAGGGGAAAAGUUGUUUUUUUUUUUAAAUUCUGGGUAAAAAUAUGUGUGAUUACUUGACAAAUAGCAUAUCAUUACCAUCAGCAUCAUUUUUAAAAUAUAUUGAGUUUUUAAUACCAGGAACUAUGAAAAACUAUUUAUAUACAUGAGCUCCGUAAUUCUCACAUAUACCCUGUGAGGAAAACAUUUUUAUCAUUUUUCAGAGAAGCAAACCGGGAUUUAGAGAGGUUAAGUAAAUUCCUAAGGUCAUGAUAACCAACCAGACCUCAAAUGAAUCUCCAGUAAUUCCUAAAGUUAUAUUUCAUAAGGAGUUCAAUUUUCUUAAAUGUGUAGAUAAUUACAAAUAAUUCUGUUUCUCAAAUUUCUGGACAGAAAUAUUACCUGGGUAAUAGUUAUUUUUUUUAACAUAACUAUUGAGGGUCUUUCAUACUAAAAUAUAAAUAUUUAACAUGAUUUGAUAUGUAAGUUCAAGUAUUUUAUACUCUGCAGCCUUAAACCUAUUGGCUUAUUUUAUUAGAGGGUUGGUGGGAUUGAGGGAUAUGGGAGCAAAGGGAGAGAGAGGAAAGAACGUUGUCCUCAGAAUGGAAGGGAAACACUUUCCUGUGCUACCCAGAGUAGAGAUCAGACAAUGUUAAAUUUUGAAGCCAUGUCUGUUCCUGUCCUGAGGAUCCCUAACUAAAUUGUGUUAGAAAAUCUUGCAGUUUGCUUUUAAUGGGAGAUGUUUCUGGCAGGACAUCAAUAGCUUUUGAUAGCGUCAAGAAGAAAAUAAAGUUACAUGCAGAAGCAUAAAGGGGUAGGAUGAAAGUUGAGGAAUAUAGGGACAAAAGAUGAGGGAAAGGAAUAUCCUAAUACUUGGAAGUUUGAGCAUGGAAAGUAGUCUAAAGACGACUUGGGAAGUUCCAAGAAAAUGAACCAAGAAAAGAACCUCUGCAAGAACUAUGAGAAUUCCCAACAAUUGGGUUGGAUUGAUUCAUAUUAGUCUAUUACUUGGGUUACCUUGAGUGUGGGGAUUCUUCUUGCAGUUUUAACACUUGUACUAUGGUCUGAAUGUGCCCCCCAAAAAUUCACAUGUUGGCAUUUAACCCCCAAAGUGAUGAUCUCAGGAGAUGGGACCUUUGGGAGGUGAUCAGGUCAUAAAGAUGAAACCCUCGUGAAUGGGAUUAGUGCCUUUAUAAAGGAGACCCCAAAAUAAUUCCCUUACCCCUUUUGCCAUGUAAGGUUAUAGGGAAAAGUCAUCUAUGAACAAGGAAAUGAACCCUCACCAGAUACCAAAUUUGUGAAUGCCUGGAUCUUGGACUUCCCAGCUUCUAGAACUAUAAGAAAUAAAUUUCUGUUGUUCAUAAGCA
Molecule: unclassified non-coding RNA, 4794 nt
Filed under: Homo sapiens (human)
Lineage: Eukaryota; Metazoa; Chordata; Mammalia; Primates; Hominidae
Description: small integral membrane protein 10 like 1 (ENSG00000281930.1)
Source: RNAcentral